RNAcentral lists this long non-coding RNA (438 nucleotides) under Sinocyclocheilus grahami. Its description in RNAcentral is "lncRNA (ENSSGRG00000044672.1)". Lineage: Eukaryota; Metazoa; Chordata; Actinopteri; Cypriniformes; Cyprinidae. The record is from RNAcentral.
CAAAGGAGCCUACCUGACACUUCCUGCCCGUCUCGCUUGUUUUGGCAGUGAUAGCUGUGUGUCUCUGCCAUGUUUGUGUACAUCUCUCGCGAAUGUCUUUACAUUUAUAAACAUAUAAUAUAGCUCUGACGCUCUGGAAUAAUAACCUGACGUGCUGUAUUGGAUUAUAUGCGCAGUUGAGCUCGUUUAAUGGAUGACUGGAGGCAAAACGUGAUUGCUUCUUCUCAUUGAUCCAGGAUCAUACAGUGCGGAGAUAUAAGGAAUGGAAGAUUUGUCAUAUGUGGGGUCUGGCUGAGGGCCGCUGUUGCCCGGGCAUCUGCACCCCAUUGGCUGAUUCUCCAGCAUGUACCGUAGAAACGGCCUAUCAGAUGGCACCAGCAUUAGCUCCGCCUCCUCUGAGAGCCAAAUUACCCUGAUGGACGCCCCUGUGUUUAAGGC